This 465-nucleotide ribosomal RNA is filed under the name uncultured Klebsiella sp. Its description in RNAcentral is "bacterial SSU rRNA". It matches the Rfam family "Bacterial small subunit ribosomal RNA", at positions 338 to 795 of the family's 1533-position model. Lineage: Bacteria; Pseudomonadati; Pseudomonadota; Gammaproteobacteria; Enterobacterales; Enterobacteriaceae. The record is from RNAcentral.
CCUACGGGGGGCUGCAGUGGGGAAUAUUGCACAAUGGGCGCAAGCCUGAUGCAGCCAUGCCGCGUGUGUGAAGAAGGCCUUCGGGUUGUAAAGCACUUUCAGCGGGGAGGAAGGCGGUGAGGUUAAUAACCUCAUCGAUUGACGUUACCCGCAGAAGAAGCACCGGCUAACUCCGUGCCAGCAGCCGCGGUAAUACGGAGGGUGCAAGCGUUAAUCGGAAUUACUGGGCGUAAAGCGCACGCAGGCGGUCUGUCAAGUCGGAUGUGAAAUCCCCGGGCUCAACCUGGGAACUGCAUUCGAAACUGGCAGGCUAGAGUCUUGUAGAGGGGGGUAGAAUUCCAGGUGUAGCGGUGAAAUGCGUAGAGAUCCGGAGGAAUACCGGUGGCGAAGGCGGCCCCCUGGACAAAGACUGACGCUCAGGUGCGAAAGCGUGGGGAGCAAACAGGAUUAGAUACCCCAGUAGUC